This is a Y RNA of Callithrix jacchus (white-tufted-ear marmoset), 102 nucleotides long. It matches the Rfam family "Y RNA". Rfam says of the family: Y RNAs are components of the Ro ribonucleoprotein particle (Ro RNP), in association with Ro60 and La proteins. NCBI's taxonomy places the organism in Eukaryota, Metazoa, Chordata, Mammalia, Primates, Cebidae. The record is from Ensembl.
GGCUGGUCGGAGUGCAGUGGUGUUUAUAACGAGUUGAUCACAACCAGUUACAAAUUUAUUUGUUCUUUCUGUACUCCCACUGCUUCACUUGACUAGCCUAAA